RNAcentral lists this long non-coding RNA (1390 nucleotides) under Ficedula albicollis (Collared flycatcher). RNAcentral's name for it is "lncRNA (ENSFALG00000027857.1)". The record is from RNAcentral. Lineage: Eukaryota; Metazoa; Chordata; Aves; Passeriformes; Muscicapidae.
AAAUGUCAGGUCCCUGGAGAAGACAAUGUUGGUGGUGCAGAGGAAAGGUGGAUUGGGAAGAGCAGGAUUUGGGGAGGAAUGUCAGGUUCAAGGCCCUGGAGAAGAUAUCAUUGGUGGCACGGGGAGGAAAAGAUGGGAUGGGAAGAGCAGGAUUUGGGAAGGAAUGUCAAGGCCCUGGAGAAGAUAUCAUUGGUGGCACGGGGAGAAGGUGGGAUGGGAAGAGCAGGAUUUGGGGAGGAAUGUCAGGUCCUUGGUGGUGGUGCAAGGAAAAGAUGGGAUGGGAAGAGAAGGGUUUGGGAAAGAACAUCAAAACCCUGGAGAAGAUACCAUUGGUGACGUGAAAAGAAGGUGGGAUGGGAAGAGUGGGGUUUGGGGAGGAAUGUCAGGUCCUUGGAGAAGAUACCAUUGGUGGUGCAGGGGAAAGGUGGGAUGGGAAGAGCAGGGUUUGAAAAGGAACAUCAGGGCCUUGGAGAAGAGAAUUUUGGGGUGUAAAUGGCCUGGAAAGUCCAAGGAAAGGUUGGAGAAGAGAAAUUCCAGGGAAACCUCAGAGUCUAAAGGGGCUCCAGGAGAGCUGGAGAGGAUUUGGGAUGAGGGAUGGAAUUCCAGGACUCAGGGAGUGGUUUGAAACUGGGAAAAGGGAAUUUGGGUGGGAUUUUGGGAAAGAAUUCCUGGCUGGGAUGGAAUUCCCAGAGGGGCUGUGGCUGCUCCUGGAUCCCUGGGAAUGUCCAAGGCCAGGCUGGAGCAGCCUGGGAUAGUGGAAGGUAUCCCUGCCCAUGGCAGGGGUUGGAAUGAGAUGAUCUUUAAGGUCCCUUCCAACCCAAACCAUUCUGGGAUUCCAUAAAUCAGGGGAGCUGGCUGGGAGGGGCUUGUUUAGCUGGGAUGCCUGACUUUGGAGACUCCUCUCUGCAAAGCACCAAAAUUAGGGAAUCCCUUCAGAACAAGGGCUGAGUUUGCACCAGGAAAGGUGCACAGGUGCCCUGUGCUGCAGAAAAUCGUGGCUGGAGGUGGAGGCACCUGUCCUUGGGCUUUGGAGCAGGAUGGGAUCUGGGGUGAGCCAGGAUUGGGUUUAUUGGAUGGGGUAAAACAGGACCUCGGUUCCUCUGCAGAAACAACAUUAAUUUGAAAUACAGCAAGUGCUGAUGGAGCAGUAGGGAAUGGUGCUCUAAUGUUCAGUGGGGUGACAAUUUCCCAGUGUUUUCCUGGGAUGCCCACAGCAUCCUUCACCCCUUUUCUUCGUUCAGGGAAAUCCUUGACAAAGAAGUGUUGGCACAGGGCAGAGUUGUGCAAACAAGGCUGGACCAGGAACACCUGGGAUUUCUUCCUCACUGCCCAUCACCAUCUUCCAGUGCUUUAUUUUUAGUAUUUUCUGUAAAAAAAAGAAAGAAAAAAC